GGGCAGAGGCACAUGUGUGUUGCCCGCAGCAAAGCUGUGGGCCAGCUUGAACCCAUCUCGGGCUCAUCGGAUGGCGAAGGUGUGUCUGCCUUCAUGUUUCCUUCUGACGAUAAUGCUAUAUGUACUGUAUUAGUCCUUAAUCUAAGCAAAUGUGGUUGAGUGGUACUAUUCUUUAGCUCAAUUAAUUUACAUGCUCAACAAUGUUCAAAUGUUAGUAACUUGCAUGCAUCUCACUUAUAAAUAUUCUGUUAAUUAGGUAGGUGUAACGAACACCAUCCCAUUGUUUUUAUCUGGUAUAGUACGAAAGGGUAUUAAUUGUUUCAUUUCUUGUAAGAGAAGCCUCGGAUUUGUGAGCAUGGGUGCAAUGCACAUUAGGAAAGUGGAAUUGGGGCUUGCCAUUUACAUGUUGCACCUGACGGAUGAAUGAAGCAGUACCACUAUGGAGUAAGGCACCCCUGUUCUAGAGUAUAGCCAAGCUAUUGGAUCUUGGGUGGAUUCGGCAAUCUAGGGUGAUGUGAAAUCAUUUGUGUUUCCUCUUUGGCAUAGGGGUUGCCUUGCUAAUUUGACAACUUCCAAAUUAUGCUGUUGGUCUGUUUAUAACAGUUUGUGUGCAAUGGUUUACUAGGGCACUAUCAUGUUUUGAGUACCGUUUUACGAAGAUGCGAAAGAAAAGCAUAACCAUGCUGUGAGUUAGUAGCUGCCUGGGAAUCCAUCUCUAGCCCUAUAGCCUAUGGGAAUAGGAAAGUACUACUCGCGCCGUCGAGGCACACAAUUAUUAGCUCGCUAGCAUUUCUUUUUUACAAAGAGGCUGAAUUCAUAUAUUGAAGUCGACCAAUCCUUACAUGACCAUCCUUAAAGAAAUAGGAAAUUAUGCAUGGGUCCUUAAAAAUUGACGUAUUCUUCCUCCUACACCAACUAGUGGUCCGCUGUGAACAAAGAUAGAUGUUGAUGAUGUAGCAGCCAAGAAUCCUUCGUCAUAUCCAGAAGACGCUGGCGAAAAUAGAUCGCCAUCCUCGAGAAGGUGGGAAAGAGGGCUAGAUGACAACCCUAGAUCUAGAAAAACGGUUCUUGGGAGAACUAACCUCAUUAGCUCCCCGAUGAAGCUGAAACUAGCCAAACUUCAUCGUUGUACAAGGAGGCAGAGGACCAAGGGAUGAAUCACAUCGACUACUUUGCUGGAUGACAAAUUUUGACGAGAUCAUGUCCUUUACUAGUAUAAAAAUAACAGGAUCAUGUCUGUUACACCUACCUAAUUAACAGAAUUUUAACAAGUGAGAUGUAUGCAAGUUACUAACAUUUUAACAUUGCUGAGCAUGAAAUUAAUUGAGCUAAAAACAAUACUACUCUGCCACAUUUGCUUAGCCUAAGGAAUAAUACAAAACAUAUAGCAUUACCACCAGAAGGAAACAUUAAGACAAACGCACCUUCACCGCCCAAUGAGCCCGCGGACUGGUUCAAGCUGGCCCAUAACUUUCCACUAGCUCCACCCUGGUGUCGCUUCCCUGCAGGGUCGCCGAGGGUCAGACAUCAGCGCUGCUCCUAAGGAAGCAGUGUUAUUCCCCUCCUCCGCAUCUGCCAUAGUAGGCAGCGAGUUCGUCCUAGCAAGCAUGGGUGGCACUAGUGCCACCUCCUAGAUGCAUGCGACCGACGGGGACCUGGCGAGCCCCUCGCUGCUCCUUCUCUCUCGCCCGAACAGACCCCUGAGCGACAUCCCGAGGCUAAGUUCCAACUCCUCCUCCCACGAAUCCAAGCACUAAGCCUUCCGCUUAUCGUCGUCUCCCCCAUCGACGCCACACGACAAGUCCCUCGAGUAGUUCUCCAUUAACGCCACACGUACUUGUCACUUGGUUAGAUAAAGCUCCCGCACAAACUCUUCACUUGGUCAGAGGAAGCUCACGCGCUCAUCGGAGAAGAACCUGCCUAGGGGAGGAAGAGAAACCAAGCACAAUUAAGGAGGGCAACUCAUGAAGCAUGAUGCGAGAGAGAAAUGAACAUAUAGGAGGAGGAGAAUCGAGGAGAGGGGCCCGAACGAGAAUUGUGCAGCCGAGGAGGAAGGAGGGCAGGAUUGAUGUCUGCUAAUGUGGUGUUCCGCUCUACUCGUGGAUGCCUCGCGUGGAGAGGAAGACACUCUCUUGCAACACAAAUUUUGCUC
Molecule: long non-coding RNA, 2152 nt
Filed under: Triticum aestivum (bread wheat)
Lineage: Eukaryota; Viridiplantae; Streptophyta; Magnoliopsida; Poales; Poaceae
Description: long non-coding RNA (TAES_LNC026039)
Source: RNAcentral